UCCAGGUACCAACUUGCUCUUCAGAUGACACGUGACCUCGCUCUAGUCGUAGCAAUACAAACAACAUUGUAUAGGCAAAAUUAACAUUACACCAAACAUGUAAAUAAAAUACACAGUAAAAAACCUACACAUUAAAAUAAGAUCACAGGAACUGGAAUCAUUAAAUUUGGAGUUAUAGAUUUUAAGUUAUGAAUUUUCAAAGGUUUUAUGUGUUUAAAAUGGAUUAAGUGAGAGAUUGAAUUUCUAAUUGUUUUCAUGACAAAACAGAGGCUCUAGGUGGUAGAUAAUAAAAUUACAAAAUUUUAGAAAGUGGAAUGGUUCAAUUUGGAGCUAAAAUGAAUUUUCUAUGAAUUAACUAAGUUCUAGUAAUUAUUUUCAUAUUAAAAAUCCAUUUUCUAUUUCAUUUAUUCAAAUUAAAUGAGUUCUGGACUGGGCCUCAAUUCCUGGAAAGUCCAGGGGUCUCGGGGAAAGAUUUCCAAGACACAGCGCAUAGUGACUAAAGGACGGCGGGUUGAUUUCUGCUUUCCUUGGGGUCUCUUUAGAAAAAUGCCCCGCGAAGGGGUAUCGGAUGGGCUGAGCCGUCCGAUCAGAAACGGAGGGCUCAGAUUAGAUCGACCCCAUCCCCAGUCGGUACGCGAUCCAGUCCGUUGGAUCGUGAUCCGAUGGUUCCGGAUUCCUUUACCUUGCAUUAAAUCCAACGCGUUCGCCCCGCAUCGGACGGUCCUAACAAACCGAGAUCGAAUCGUUACCCGGCUUCUAAUCCUGGCCAUCCGUCUCCGCAUCAACGGCCCCGGUGUCUCCCCCAAUUCCUCGCCGAGCGACGGUGGCGCCGCCCAGGGCUCACGGCGGAGCACGCCGGCGAGGUUUGCAAUCGGCCGUUUCCGAACGCUAAACAAGAAUUGAACCGAGCUACACGUAGAGACGGGAAAGACGAACUGAAGGGUGGACUUAAUACCUUGGUUUGGAACGGUGGCAGCACUGACCAGACGAGCGCGCGGCCCGCGGUGGUUUCCUGGCGACGUCGAGCAAUUCCCGCCCCCGAGAAGUCCCUCAGCGUCGGCCAAAGCUUCGUAUGGCUGCCCCACAACGUCGCCGAGCCAACCCGGUCCCAAUCGAAGGACCAAAUCGCCGGCCAAACCCACGCCGAUGCUCACGACACUCACUCCUUCCUUUCCGUCCACGGUUCACUGGAUAUCCGUCGAGAUGGAUAAGGAAGCUAGCGCGGCCGGGUUAUAUAGGGGCGG
Molecule: long non-coding RNA, 1244 nt
Filed under: Zea mays
Lineage: Eukaryota; Viridiplantae; Streptophyta; Magnoliopsida; Poales; Poaceae
Description: long non-coding RNA (ZMAY_LNC003562)
Source: RNAcentral